RNAcentral lists this ribosomal RNA (253 nucleotides) under uncultured prokaryote. RNAcentral describes it as "partial 16S ribosomal RNA". It matches the Rfam family "Bacterial small subunit ribosomal RNA", at positions 524 to 776 of the family's 1533-position model. The record is from RNAcentral.
UACGGGGGGGGUAAGCGUUGUUCGGAAUUACUGGGCGUAAAGGGCUCGUAGGCGGCCAACUAAGUCAGACGUGAAAUCCCUCAGCUUAACUUGGGAACUGCGUCUGAUACUGGAUGGCUUGGAUUUGGGAGAGGGAUGCGGAAUUCCAGGUGUAGCGGUGAAAUGCGUAGAUAUCUGGAGGAACACCGGUGGCGAAGGCGGCAUCCUGGACCAACAUUGACGCUGAGGAGCGAAGGCGUGGGGAGCAAACAGG